RNAcentral lists this ribosomal RNA (468 nucleotides) under uncultured bacterium. RNAcentral describes it as "partial 16S ribosomal RNA". It matches the Rfam family "Bacterial small subunit ribosomal RNA", at positions 28 to 507 of the family's 1533-position model. The record is from RNAcentral.
GACGAACGCUGGCGGCGUGCUUAACACAUGCAAGUCGAACGGAAAGGCCCUGCUUUUGUGGGGUGCUCGAGUGGCGAACGGGUGAGUAACACGUGAGUAACCUGCCCUUGACUUUGGGAUAACUUCAGGAAACGGGGGCUAAUACCGGAUAGGAGCUCCUGCUGCAUGGUGGGGGUUGGAAAGUUUCGGCGGUUGGGGAUGGACUCGCGGCUUAUCAGCUUGUUGGUGGGGUAGUGGCUUACCGAGGCUUUGACGGGUAGCCGGCCUGAGAGGGUGACCGGCCACAUUGGGACUGCGAUACGGACCAGACUCCUACGGGAGGCAGCAGUGGGGAAUAUUGCACAAUGGGCGGAAGCCUGAUGCAGCAACGCCGCGUGCGGGAUGACGGCCUUCGGGUUGUAAACCGCUUUCGCCUGUGACGAAGCGUGAGUGACGGUAAUGGGUAAAGAAGCACCGGCUAACUACGUG